Non-coding RNA from Myodes glareolus (Bank vole), 2671 nucleotides. The record is from RefSeq and is a predicted model, not a curated record. Lineage: Eukaryota; Metazoa; Chordata; Mammalia; Rodentia; Cricetidae.
AAAUCAUAUUUAGUGGACAUAACACUGGAUUUGCACACUGCAUUGAGCCCUAGAUAUAAAAAGGAAGCCUAGGUAAGACUUGGUGCCCAUCUUACUGCAAGAGACAGAGUCCAGAGAGCACUUGGUCUUUGAUGCAAUGUAAUGCAUGCCCUUCAGGAAAUAUGAGCUGAGGGGGUAGAAUAGCAUGAGACAAUUAUCCUCUCUGUUCCCAGGAACAAGUUGAAUGAAUAGAGCAAAAGCUAUCCCGGAUGCCUCUGAUAUUCUAAUAAUUGAUGAACAUUAGUAUUUUCAUGGGGAUUGGCUAAAGUCACAUCAUUUGGUUUCAGAUUUGCUAGGCCACCUCUUCUUCCAUCGUCUCCCUCCCUGACAGUUCCCUGGAAACAAGCCGCCACUGGGAAGGUGCCAUCUGAUUUCAGCUUGCUAAUCGGCGUUUCCGGAAAACUUUAAGCAUAGACCCACAGAGCCCUUAAUGAGAAAGCUCGUUAAAAGGCCGUCUAAAGCAGUGAAACAGAUUACAUGCACACACAGCCCACUCUUUUCCUCUUGGUUUCCUCCUCUCCCUCCCAGACUGCGGCGCUAACAUGACAAGGUGACAUGAGUCAUCAGGUGGAACAGAGGCCUUGCCACUCCACUCCAAACAAGCUGUCUCUGCCUCGCCGCCGCUGUGAUGACAUUUCUCUUGCUUCACUGUGGCAGGAAAAUGUGGCCCGCAACAGCAGGAGGGCCGUGUACUUGUAAUGAUGGCCUUGGUAAAGCCUUUGAUUGUGUGUAUUUGGGUGGAACUUGAGCUUGUAAUUGGCAAACGCACACACUGUCUGCUGCAGUCUCUCUCUCUUUAGAAAGCUUGUUUAUCCCAGGGCAAGCCAAGUUUCCUAUUUUUUUUGUGGGGGGUGCAUUUCCUGGAAUGUUACUUCAGGGGAUGGUAGGGAGUAUUCAUGGCUAACCCUGUGAUAGUGUCUUAUUAGAUCAUUCCCUAGCACAUUCUCCUGUGAGGAAACCUAAUGCUAACUGGGAGUUUCAUGAGGUAAGCUAGGUUUCCUGCCUCCUGGCUCAAAAGGAAGUGAUGGUGGUGCCUGUCUAGUGGGAGGAAGAAAGGGGAGGUGAUUAUUUUUUUUCCUUCUCUUGUCCUGAGAAGUAUGAAAGGAAGACUGCACGUACCAAAACUUCCACACCUGGUACAUGAGCAAUGUCUGUGGGGAAGAGGAAAUCCUCCUACCAUCUCGCCCCUUGACUUACAAGGCUCACAGGUGUCUUCCGUACUGAGACUAAAAUUCUUGUAACCUUGCUGGGUUCCAUGCUCAGGCAGAGAGUCACAAGACCAAAUGAUCAGCACCCUCCAAUGGCUUGAGUCUGGGAAAUUUGGCCAAUACCUCGACGCCUCAGUGGCUGCCAUGUCCCAGGCACGGAACCAGGCACUUGGAAUGCAAAACCUGAGAAAUCACCACCUCUUUUCUGAAGUUUUUCUUACUUUUCUUCAGAAUAAAGAAACAUUGGUUUAUCAUAACACCAGAUGCUAAGUGCUUUAGUGACUCUAUGUAGCAGAGAGGGACCGAGUAUGUUUUUGAGGUUGAGAGAGACCAAGAGUUAGGAAAGAGUGCUCAAACCGGAAGCUGGAAUAGGAUUCUGAGGAAAAAGAACUCACUUAAGGAAAGGGAGAGACAGAGAGGUGUACAUGCGUGGUUGAAGGCGUUGAGGGUAGCAGAGGGGACUGGAGGCAGGACAGAACGGAGCCGGCUGAGGAGAACAAGCAGUGACUGGUUUCAGAAGCCACAAGAAGCCAGCCAUGGUAGAGACUGACAAGUAUCUUUGAGACUAGACAAACAGGACAUCAUUGGGGACAGCAAGAACACUCUUAGUGGCACUUGGGACUGGUGCACGGUGGGAUGAGUGAAACCAACAAGUAUAUUCGAAAAGUUUAUGGACUUGGCUGUGAGGAGGUGUCUGUCAAUGAGAUAGUGUUUUUCUGUAUAGCCCUGGCUGCCCUGGAACUCACGCUGUAGACCAGGUUGACAUCACCACUACGGCCCCCCGGCUACCUGGUUGGCCGUGGGGAUGGAGAGAAACACCAACCUGAACAGUGAGACUAGAGAGCUAAUGCAGCGUUGUAUACAUUUCCUUGGGGCCUCCGGCAGCUCCUGGAUGUUAAAUAUUAUCUCUCCGUGUGAUUUGCAGCAGAAGGAAGAAUCAUCUGUUACUCUUUUACUUCCCUAAUGAGCCCUCAAGCUGGUUUGCAGGGCAGCAUUGGAUCUCCUGCCUCCUUCGGAGAAGACGAAUGAUGGUUUGGAUUUAAUUGCUUGAUGUUAAUCUCCUUCAGGACUCAACUUUUAUUCUUCUUGUUUCUUCAUUGGGCCUCACUCCCAAAUAAAACUAAAUAACCAGGACAACCAGAAACAAUAGCUGAAAGUAUACAGCAAGGUGUGGUGGCAACACCUUGAUGGGCAGGCUAGACGUUUCCUUUGCUACCAUGGUAACUACUACUAAACAACCUGCCUUGCUGUUGACUGCUCUCUGUAAAUGUGAAUGUUCUUUUACAUACAAGUGCUCAGAUGAACUCAACUACCUAAAAUACUUUUGUUGGACUCUAGUGUCCAACCCGAGAAGGAGUCGCCCCCAGAGACCACCUCAUACACCACAGCCGAUGCAAAAGCAUGAGGAUUUUCUUAAUUCUGUC